AAUUAAUAAGAGCUUCAGGAAGAAAGAACAGAGAAAAAAGAAGGGCUUGCGAACAGCUGAGGUUCGUGGAGGGUGGGGCAUCCAGGCAGGGCAUGGAAGCUCCGCGUCCCUUCCCCCAUCCCUCGCCCUAUUUAUCUCUUCAUCUGAGCUGAAAAGCACCAAGGCUUGGCCUUAGCAGAAGGUUCAUGAAGGGCUGGGUCCCAACACUGGUGUGAAGAGAGCUACCUGGGAGGCUGAGAAAAAUCACAUGAAGGAGAACUCAGCCCAUUCAUCUUGCUUGGAACUAAGAAUCUUGAGUGAUCCAUUUCCUUAAAAUUCAGGCUUCCCUGGACCCCAAGAAAGAAAAGUGAGUUUUCCAGCACUUGUGUUUAUAGGACUCUUGCUACGAAACUGUUUUCAGAAUCAAAAAUAAAGCAGAUGGCCAUCUGAGACUGGAUACCAGAUUGUUUAUAUCAAUGAGUUGACCCGUGAAACAAAGAAGCAGAGGAACAUAAGCAGAUUACAAUGGAUGCUGGAUUUGGACAAGGAAUUUUUGACGUGAAAAUCUCUUCGAAUCAGCCCUUCCUCUGAGGGGUUGGGCUGGGAUGCAGAGGUCAUUUUUUGAUCAGAAGAGACCAUGAGGGGGAAGGCAGAAGAGAAGACAAAGGAUAGAAGAGAGCUGAGACACUGGUGACACAAUGGCCACUGCCCCUCAGGACCUCACAUUGCAAUCAUCUGUGCGAGAAAAGUAAACCCUAUGUGGUGCAAAAAAAUAGAAAAGGAGGAAAGAACUGAUGUAAGAACAUUUCCUGUAAUGAGAGAUGAAUCUCCAGAUUGAAAGGGCCUGUAGAACACCCAGCACGAUGGAGGAAAAUCCCUGGACCGAGAAGCAUCAUCACGUUUCACAACCUGUGGAAUCAGCGCCAGUGGAGCCCACUGUGUGGCUCAAAGACUUAGGAACAUCAGGGCCUGGAUACCUCGUGCGUGUGGACCACUUACCCAGCUGCUCCCACUGACUGAUCCAAGCACGAUGAGGUUGAGAUGAGACAAUUACACCCAGAAAAGUCAGAGGGGAAAACGCUGCAUUAGCAUUUGGUUCUAGUCAAUAUCUUUGGAUUUCAAGAACCAGAAGAACUUAAGGGAGGUGGGGGCUAGGGAGUUGGAGGUACUGGUGCUCUAAGAAUCAAAAAUGCUGCAGGACUGAGCCAGAAUAUAACUAUAAAGUCUUUGGUAAUUGGGGUCAUGCCUUCCAUGUCUCAGGGGUUACAUUUUCUCUCUCUCCCCUGCUUCUUUCCAAGCAUCUACUCCCUCUGGCUAUUCCACCUUGAUGCAUAAGCUUGCACAGGGUUCAAAGUGGCCAUCGACCUGCCAUGACUUUCUGUUCACCCACCUCCUUCUUUGGCUCCUCUCUGAGCUUGCCAGUUAGGUGUAAUUGCAAUUGCAGUUCAAUGACUAAAUGAUAAUUCAUCCCCAAGCCUUGAGACUGGCAAUCCUAAGGGAGAGAGUAUAGUGGUUCUAAUCAGCUAUGACAGAAAAAGAAGAGAGGGAGUAGAAGGGUCAGGAGAGCAGGGGUAGCAUGGAAAAGACCCUCUGACAAUGCUCUGACAGUAGGCAUGCUGAUCACAUGCAAACUUAUAAGCUAGUCCAAAGUGAUGACCACCGACGGGAAGAAGCAUGGGGUCGGGCAAAACUUGCAUGGGCUCAUUUAGUGUUGCUGCUGCAGACAUGUACUGAAGUAUUGAUCUUCAGACUUUCACAACUAGCCAGUCAGUUUGUGCACCAUCCCUGAGUGGUCUAAUUUUCCUCCCUGGCCCCUAUGCUCCUUGAACCCAGCACUUGCAUCUUUUUUGUGUUGCAUGAAAUGAAGAACUAAAUGCACUAUGUUUACAUUGUGUAUUUACACUUUGUACCAAUAAGUGCAUAAUUGAUUGUCUAGUCUGAGUGCUCAUACACAGUUGUUUCAAUAGAAACCUGAUAUUAAUUGAUCGAUUAGCAAAGUAUUUCACAGUCUAUAUGGAUAGUAUCUCUGAUUUAAUAAAACCCCAACUUUUUAUGUAAUGUUUUUUCAUUUUUCUCAUUAAAGGCAUCAAGAAAAGGUUUGUGCAUCCACUAAUUGAAAAUAGAUGCACAGAUAACAGGUUGUUUUUUAGUUAUCUUUCUAUGACUUUGUUGAGAUAAUGUAAGAGUAUAAACUAUAAGCACUCUAAAACACCAGACUUCACUUUGGGAGGCCGAGGCGGGCAGAUUGCCUGAGCUCAGAAGUUUGCGACCAGCCUGGGCAACUCGGUGAAACCCCAUCUCUACUAAAAUACAAAAAAACUUAAUCAGGCGUGGCAGCGUGUAGUCCCAGCUACUCGGGAGGCU
This 2343-nucleotide long non-coding RNA is filed under the name Homo sapiens (human). Its description in RNAcentral is "HSALNT0151981". Lineage: Eukaryota; Metazoa; Chordata; Mammalia; Primates; Hominidae. The record is from RNAcentral.